RNAcentral lists this ribosomal RNA (443 nucleotides) under uncultured bacterium. RNAcentral describes it as "partial 16S ribosomal RNA". It matches the Rfam family "Bacterial small subunit ribosomal RNA", at positions 338 to 795 of the family's 1533-position model. The record is from RNAcentral.
CCUACGGGAGGCAGCAGUGGGGGAUAUUGGACAAUGGGGGAAACCCUGAUCCAGCGACGCCGCGUGAGUGAAGAAGUAUUUCGGUAUGUAAAGCUCUAUCAGCAGGGAAAAAAGAAAUGACGGUACCUGAGUAAGAAGCCCCGGCUAACUACGUGCCAGCAGCCGCGGUAAUACGUAGGGGGCAAGCGUUAUCCGGAAUUACUGGGUGUAAAGGGAGCGUAGACGGUAAUGCAAGUCUGGAGUGAAAGGCGGGGGCACAACCCCCGGACUGCUCUGGAAACUGUGUAACUGGAGUGCAGGAGAGGCAGGCGGAAUUCCUAGUGUAGCGGUGAAAUGCGUAGAUAUUAGGAGGAACACCAGUGGCGAAGGCGGCCUGCUGGACUGUAACUGACGUUGAGGCUCGAAAGCGUGGGGAGCAAACAGGAUUAGAUACCCUUGUAGUC